Molecule: unclassified non-coding RNA, 262 nt
Filed under: fungal sp.
Lineage: Eukaryota; Fungi
Description: partial contains small subunit ribosomal RNA, internal transcribed spacer 1, and 5.8S ribosomal RNA
Rfam family: Eukaryotic small subunit ribosomal RNA (bases 1-47)
Source: RNAcentral
AAAGUCGUAACAAGGUUUCCGUAGGUGAACCUGCGGAAGGAUCAUUAACACGUAUCCAUACGUAUUAUAUACCAAACCGUGAACUUGUUUGUAAAAUGAGAAAGAGGGAGUGCGAAAGCGCGAGCUCUUUGUAUCUUAUUUUCAACCUUAUAAACCACUUGUAACCAAUUGUACUAAAAACCUAAGAAACGUGAUUGUCAUGAUCAUGUUCUGUAUUUACGAAACGUAAAAACAAUUCUUAGCAACGGAUAUCUUGGUUCUC